RNAcentral lists this long non-coding RNA (469 nucleotides) under Elaeis guineensis (African oil palm). RNAcentral describes it as "long non-coding RNA (EGUI_LNC047381)". The record is from RNAcentral. Lineage: Eukaryota; Viridiplantae; Streptophyta; Magnoliopsida; Arecales; Arecaceae.
UCAUGGCACUGUGAGCUAAUUGGCACGCAAAAAUUCUCCUUGGCACGCUAGUUUUCUGGCUUGGCACGACCUGUGAGUCGACUCAUGAGUCGACCCACAAGGCAUGAGUCGACUCAUGAGUCGACCCCUGCUAAUUUGAGCCAAAAAAUUUUCAGAAACGCAUUCUCUGGUUUUUGCAACAGAGGUCGACUCAUGAGUCGACCCCUGAAGCAUGAGUAGUCGACCCCUGCGACGGGAAUUGUCAGCAACGGCUAUUUUUUUACCCGUUUUAAUUGCCAUUUAUGCUUCCUAAAAAUCCUCUAACGGCUCUUUAUCUACCUAAAUUAUUUUUUCUUGCUUCUAAUGCUACAAAAUGCUUUAAAUGAUGAAAGAAAUUGCAGAUUAAAUAGCGGAUCAAACGUGAAAUCAAAAAAAGACGAAAAAGAAGAGAAGUAGAGAAGAAGAGAAGAAUAGAAGAAAGGAUCCAAAA